UACGUAGGGUGCAAGCGUUAAUCGGAAUUACUGGGCGUAAAGCGUGCGCAGGCGGUUUUGUAAGUCUGUCGUGAAAUCCCCGGGCUCAACCUGGGAAUUGCGAUGGAGACUGCAAGGCUAGAAUCUGGCAGAGGGGGUAGAAUUCCACGUGUGAGCAGUGAAAUGCGUAGAGAUGUGGAGGAACACCGAUGGCGAAGGCAGCCCCUGGGUCAAGAUUGACG
RNAcentral lists this ribosomal RNA (221 nucleotides) under uncultured bacterium. Its description in RNAcentral is "partial 16S ribosomal RNA". It matches the Rfam family "Bacterial small subunit ribosomal RNA", at positions 524 to 745 of the family's 1533-position model. The record is from RNAcentral.